RNAcentral lists this ribosomal RNA (251 nucleotides) under uncultured bacterium. RNAcentral's name for it is "partial 16S ribosomal RNA". It matches the Rfam family "Bacterial small subunit ribosomal RNA", at positions 524 to 771 of the family's 1533-position model. The record is from RNAcentral.
UACGGAGGGGCUAGCGUUGUUCGGAAUUACUGGGCGUAAAGCGCGCGUAGGCGGAUCUGCAAGUCGGGGGUGAAAUCCCGAGGCUCAACCUCGGAACUGCCUUCGAUACUGCGGGUCUCGAGUCCGGGAGAGGUGAGUGGAAUUCCGUAGUGGUAGAGGUGAAAUUCGUAGAUAUUAGGAAGAACACCAGUGGCGAAGGCGGCUCUCGUGGGCCUUACCUGACGCUGAGGAGCGAAAGCGAUGGGUAGCGG